CUGAGACUGGGGAUCAAAACGAGCAACUGUUUUUGUGAGUAUUUUCUUCUCCACGGCAAAGACUUGAAAGCAUCCAUUUGGUAUCUACGACCUUUUGUUUUGUUGACUGACUCGAAGAGACCUUUUGUUGUUGUUGUUACUUGUUGCUAAGCAUCAGCGUACGUACCAAACUACCCAUCUAUUAUCGUAGAUGUUUCUGUGAGCAUCUUAAUUGGUCAUACGCAUUUGAUACAUAGACAAUUAUUAGUCACUAACAUACGCUCUCCCAAGUUCGAACUUAGGUUAGGACACAAUACGUAUUAUAUUAUCAAAGUUCUCA
Molecule: long non-coding RNA, 319 nt
Filed under: Brassica napus (rape)
Lineage: Eukaryota; Viridiplantae; Streptophyta; Magnoliopsida; Brassicales; Brassicaceae
Description: long non-coding RNA (BNAP_LNC023716)
Source: RNAcentral